CGACCGGCGCACGGGUGAGUAACACGUAUCCAACCUGCCGAUAACUCGGGGAUAGCCUUUCGAAAGAAAGAUUAAUAUCCGAUAGCAUAUUGAGAUCGCAUGAUUUUGAUAUUAAAGAAUUUCGGUUAUCGAUGGGGAUGCGUUCCAUUAGUUUGUUGGCGGGGUAACGGCCCACCAAGACUACGAUGGAUAGGGGUUCUGAGAGGAAGGUCCCCCACACUGGUACUGAGACACGGACCAG
Molecule: ribosomal RNA, 241 nt
Filed under: uncultured bacterium
Lineage: Bacteria
Description: partial 16S ribosomal RNA
Rfam family: Bacterial small subunit ribosomal RNA
Source: RNAcentral